GAGGUGUAAGUCCGAGGAAGGAUGCACAUUGGAUGUGAAAGCCACAGCCGUGGUGACCAGGGACCAGGGUCUGCAAAUGUCCACAAAAGACUUGCAAGCAGCAUGAAGUAGAAGAUAGAUGGACACAGAAACUAAUUAAUUUCACCACAGUGUGGAUAAAGCCGCAACCGAGGUGGAUGCAAAGCAGCUGGGAGAGAUUCAAUCAGCCUGGGAGGGCAGGAGCAACCCAGGAAGGCUUCCAGGGAAGGCCAUGAUUAAACCGAGUAUUAAAGGUUGAGAAUGAAUGUAUUCAGGUCGUCGCUGAAGAAAGAAGGAGAGCGAUUCAUAAUCGGCAAGCGUAUUUGGAGAAAUCAAUAGUCUGAGAUAAAAGAGACAGCACGCUGUUGCAGAAGAAUCGUGAUCGAUGCCGUCAAACAAAUGUACGUUCUGCAGCAAGGUGCUGCUCGGUCUGGCCGAGUGAGUCUGCUCUUCUUAUCUGUCAAACAGGGAAUAACAUCCCCAAAUCACAGGGCGUGGCAGAGGAGGAAAUGGAAGAGAGAACGAUCCCAAUUGCAGUUUAUCUGUGGUUCAUCUGGCUUCAUCUCACACCACCUCUGUUGACAUGGGAGGGCUACCGGCCCACAUCCGGAAAGUAUUAUGAAACCACCGGGGUUCCUCCCCUCCCUGCUCCAGGGAAGCCUGAGAGGGACCCUGCAGAUUGCAUUUGGAAUCCAUCUGCCAGGUAAUGCUUUCUAGUCUUUGCUAAGCAGGAGCUGCAAGGUGGGGAA
This 767-nucleotide long non-coding RNA is filed under the name Macaca mulatta (Rhesus monkey). Its description in RNAcentral is "lncRNA (ENSMMUG00000064714.1)". Lineage: Eukaryota; Metazoa; Chordata; Mammalia; Primates; Cercopithecidae. The record is from RNAcentral.